GCCGGGGCGUCCCCCGCGGGAGCCCGCAGCCACCCGGGACGCGCAUCCAGACGUGGCGCUUCGGACCGGGCACGCUGCGCCCGGGGGCUCGGCGGACCCCGCGUAGCCGCCGCUUCGGAGCUUGUGCGGCGCGGGCUGGCCAGCGGGGCGGCCAGGGCCCGGCCCGCCUCCCCAGCGCCCGCCCGGCUUCUCCCCCUGGCGGUGGGAGCCUCGGCGGCCGCUGGCGACACUAGGCGCACUGAAGCCCGAGCCGAGCCGAGCCCGAGCCGCCGCCGCCGCCGCCGCUGCUGCGCACCGCUCCCGGGCUCCCUCCCAGCGCGCCGGCCGGGGUGUGGGGGGCGGCGGGCCGGAGGGGCGAGGGCGGGCCAGGGGGCGCACACGGGGGUUGGCGCGGAAGACAGGACCCUCAGCCUCGAGGGAGCCCCUAGGUGACCAGGCAAAAUGGCAGUUCCUUCCAGCUGGUCCUCAGAUGGGCACAUCUAUUAGCCUCUGCUCUUGUAAGAAGUUAGCUGCAGAACCCACAUGUGAAUCCUUGUAGGACUCUGGAGAAGAUCAAAUGGGAGCUUAGAUGUGGAAGCUCUUUGGAAACCAAGAAACACUCUGAAAAUGAAAAGGGAUCUCAACUUUUCUCUUCCCGCUCCAGCUGCACUAUGUAUCCGUGCUUGGCUCUCAGUUGUUGGAUUCUCAUGUCUCCUUUUUCACAGUGGCUCAGGUGGAAGAGUAAACUGUUCCUGUUUCUCCAUCUUGACAGGAAGCAGAAGUUCUCCUUAGCUGAUUUUUCUUCUUGCCUUAUACUGGGUUCUUUAACACCAGAACAAAAAUAAAUAAAUAAAAGAAUCUUCCAGAAAUUCAUGAAGAGACUUCAGGUCAGGAAAGCCUGAACUUUCUCAUCCAACACCCGUUCAAGUCGGAGGAUGCUGAUUAAUUCAUGAUGGAAAGGUAUCAAUUUCACAGCCCAGACCUCUACAUUCUUGAAAUGCUCUUCUCAUGGGAGACAUUAAAUAAGCUUUGAAUUAACUUAAGCCCUUAAGUAAAAGUGCCAUCAAAUGAUUUCUCAGAAAUUAUAAAGAAACAAAAGGACCAUAAACAAGAUAAGGUGGCAUGAGGAAACAUUACAAGUACCUUUCAGAGCUGACUGGCAAAGAAACUCCUGAGGUGACGGGGACUUAUCUUCCUCAGUUCUCUGUGAUGAACUUUUGUAGAGCCAUACGAAAGGAGGUUUUUAGCUCUCACCUGUGGUCUUUCUUCAUCAUGCACCUCCUAGAUUCAAAAGUUCAGCAGGGACAUGUCAAGCUAUAUAAAUAAAAACAAACUAAGAAAAAAUGUAACAUUCCAUACCUUAAAACGCAACCUUAAUAACGUGAAAGACCCUGAAGGACUUGAGACGUGAAGAUUUUCUACCACGGUCUUUGCCUGUAUUAUUUCUGACAGCUGUUCCUUUCUACUCCCUCUUGCACACAUCUUUAGUUACUCCCUGUUCUCCAUCCCUCUGAUAAAAUCUAGAGUUCCCCCCUCAAAUUAGAAAAUUAAAAAAAAUUAAAAAUCUAAAAUUAAAAUUUAAAAAAUUUUUAAAAAUCUAGAGUUUAAAAAAAAUGUUCUAUCUCAGGCUUGUGAACCAUAUUGUUAGUUCACAAUUAAGAAUGAUGUACAUCUAUUGGACAAGUUUUAAUUAAUUCUUUCCCUUGGCUGAUUAGUAAAUUUCUGCAGUGAGUACAAAUGUU
This 1721-nucleotide long non-coding RNA is filed under the name Homo sapiens (human). RNAcentral describes it as "PREDICTED lncRNA (TCONS_00182845)". Lineage: Eukaryota; Metazoa; Chordata; Mammalia; Primates; Hominidae. The record is from RNAcentral.